CUCAGGGAAAAAUACUGCCGUAAUCAUCAUAACCUUAAAAUAAAACAAAGUUAAAAUUUUAUAAACAAAGAUUGGUGGAGGGAGGAGUCAGAGGCAGGAGUCUUUACGUGUGUCUUUAAACUGGCUGUCGGCAUCGACAUACCAUGAAAAUACAAAAAAUAAAAAAAUCAACAGAAUCGGGCUCUCGCUUCUUGGUGCUGAGUGCUGUCAGUGCAUCGAGUGCGCGUGCACCGACCGCCCUGACGAUGUAGGGUGCCCAUGACUCACGCCUUUGUUCAAGAUAUGGUGUGAAAGGCUACAUGACAGUGUGACGUCAGUAUACAUAUAAGGGGCGGUUG
Molecule: long non-coding RNA, 338 nt
Organism: Ostrinia nubilalis (European corn borer)
Lineage: Eukaryota; Metazoa; Arthropoda; Insecta; Lepidoptera; Crambidae
Exons: 3
Source: RefSeq, a predicted model, not a curated record